GAUGAAGACGUAGCGAAAUGCGAUAAGUAAUGUGAAUUGCAGAAUUGAGUGAAUCAUCGAAUCUUUGAACGCACAUUGCGCCCGCCAGCAUUCUGGCGGGCAUGCCUGUUCGAGCGUCAUUUCAACCCUCGAGCCCCCCCGGGGGCCUCGGUGUUGGGGGACGGCACACCAGCCGCCCCCGAAAUGCAGUGGCGACCCCGCCGCAGCCUCCCCUGCGUAGUAGCACACACCUCGCACCGGAGCGCGGAGGCGGUCACGCCGUAAAACGCCCAACUUUCUUAGAGUUGACCUCGGAUCAGGUAGGAAUACCCGCUGAACUUAAGCAUAUCAAUAAGCGGAGGA
RNAcentral lists this unclassified non-coding RNA (342 nucleotides) under soil metagenome. RNAcentral describes it as "partial contains 5.8S ribosomal RNA, internal transcribed spacer 2, and large subunit ribosomal RNA". The stretch from base 1 to 119 matches the Rfam family "5.8S ribosomal RNA", at positions 35 to 154 of the family's 154-position model. The record is from RNAcentral.